This 465-nucleotide ribosomal RNA is filed under the name uncultured bacterium. RNAcentral's name for it is "partial 16S ribosomal RNA". It matches the Rfam family "Bacterial small subunit ribosomal RNA", at positions 338 to 794 of the family's 1533-position model. The record is from RNAcentral.
CCUACGGGAGGCAGCAGUGAGGAAUCUUGCGCAAUGGGGGAAACCCUGACGCAGCGACGGCGCGUGAGGGAUGAAGGCCUUCGGGUCAUAAACCUCUGUCAGGGGGGAAGAAAUUUUCUCCCGCGAAUAGGGGGGGAAAUUGACGGUACCCCCGAAGGAAGCACCGGCUAACUCCGUGCCAGCAGCCGCGGUAAGACGGAGGGUGCAAGCGUUGCUCGGAAUCACUGGGCGUAAAGAGCGUGUAGGCGGCUUCUUAAGUCGGAUGGAAAAGCCCUCGGCUCAACCGAGGAAGGGCAUCUGAAACUAAGGGGCUAGAGUACGGGAGAGGGAGGUGGAAUUCCCGGUGUAGAGGUGAAAUUCGUAGAUAUCGGGAGGAACACCGGUGGCGAAGGCGGCCUCCUGGACCGAUACUGACGCUGAAGCGCGAAAGCGUGGGGAGCGAACGGGAUUAGAUCCCCUUGUAGU